Molecule: ribosomal RNA, 455 nt
Filed under: Gelotia syringopalpis
Lineage: Eukaryota; Metazoa; Arthropoda; Arachnida; Araneae; Salticidae
Description: partial 16S ribosomal RNA
Rfam family: Bacterial large subunit ribosomal RNA (bases 64-363)
Source: RNAcentral
AUUUCAAUAUAUUUAUUUAAUUUAAAAAUUUAAUUUUUCCUUUAUGUAAAAAGACAUUAAUAAUAUAGAAAGACGAUAAGACCCUAUUGAACUUAACUUUAGUUAAACUGGGGUAGUAAAUUAAUUAUUAUUUUAAUUAAAAUUUUAAUUAAAAUAUCUUCAAAAUUAAAUAAAUCAGUUACCAUAGGGAUAACAGCGUAAUAAAAUUUAUAAGUUCUUAUAUCAAUAAAAGAUUACGACCUCGAUGUUGAAUUAAUAAUCUUUUUUUCGCAAAAGAAAAAAAAGAAAGUCUGUUCGACUUAUAAAUAAUUACAUGAUUUGAGUUCAGACCGGUAUAAGCCAGGUCGGUUUCUAUCUUCUAUAAUUAUACUAUAUAGUACGAAAGGGCCUAUAGUAAUAAUAUUAUUAUUAUAUUAGCAAACAUAUGCAUUAGAAUUAGAAUCUAAUAAACCUCC